AGAGUUUGAUCAUGGCUCAGAUUGAACGCUGGCGGCAGGCCUAACACAUGCAAGUCGAACGGUAACAGGAAACAGCUUGCUGUUUCGCUGACGAGUGGCGGACGGGUGAGUAAUGUCUGGGAAACUGCCUGAUGGAGGGGGAUAACUACUGGAAACGGUAGCUAAUACCGCAUAACGUCGCAAGACCAAAGAGGGGGACCUUCGGGCCUCUUGCCAUCAGAUGUGCCCAGAUGGGAUUAGCUAGUAGGUGGGGUAACGGCUCACCUAGGCGACGAUCCCUAGCUGGUCUGAGAGGAUGACCAGCCACACUGGAACUGAGACACGGUCCAGACUCCUACGGGAGGCAGCAGUGGGGAAUAUUGCACAAUGGGCGCAAGCCUGAUGCAGCCAUGCCGCGUGUAUGAAGAAGGCCUUCGGGUUGUAAAGUACUUUCAGCGGGGAGGAAGGGAGUAAAGUUAAUACCUUUGCUCAUUGACGUUACCCGCAGAAGAAGCACCGGCUAACUCCGUGCCAGCAGCCGCGGUAAUACGGGGGGUGCAAGCGUUAAUCGGAAUUACUGGGCGUAAAGCGCACGCAGGCGGUUUGUUAAGUCAGAUGUGAAAUCCCCGGGCUCAACCUGGGAACUGCAUCUGAUACUGGCAAGCUUGAGUCUCGUAGAGGGGGGUAGAGUUCCAGGUGUAGCGGUGAAAUGCGUAGAGAUCUGGAGGAAUACCGGUGGCGAAGGCGGCCCCCUGGACGAAGACUGACGCUCAGGUGCGAAAGCGUGGGGAGCAAACAGGAUUAGAUACCCUGGUAGUCCACGCCGUAAACGAUGUCGACUUGGAGGUUGUGCCCUUGAGGCGUGGCUUCCGGAGCUAACGCGUUAAGUCGACCGCCUGGGGAGUACGGCCGCAAGGUUAAAACUCAAAUGAAUUGACGGGGGCCCGCACAAGCGGUGGAGCAUGUGGUUUAAUUCGAUGCAACGCGAAGAACCUUACCUGGUCUUGACAUCCACGGAAGUUUUCAGAGAUGAGAAUGUGCCUUCGGGAACCGUGAGACAGGUGCUGCAUGGCUGUCGUCAGCUCGUGUUGUGAAAUGUUGGGUUAAGUCCCGCAACGAGCGCAACCCUUAUCCUUUGUUGCCAGCGGUCCGGCCGGGAACUCAAAGGAGACUGCCAGUGAUAAACUGGAGGAAGGUGGGGAUGACGCCAAGUCAUCAUGGCCCUUACGACCAGGGCUACACACGUGCUACAAUGGCGCAUACAAAGAGAAGCGACCUCGCGAGAGCAAGCGGACCUCAUAAAGUGCGUCGUAGUCCGGAUUGGAGUCUGCAACUCGACUCCAUGAAGUCGGAAUCGCUAGUAAUCGUGGAUCAGAAUGCCACGGUGAAUACGUUCCCGGGCCUUGUACACACCGCCCGUCACACCAUGGGAGUGGGUUGCAAAAGAAGUAGGUAGCUUAACCUUCGGGAGGGCGCUUACCACUUUGUGAUUCAUGACUGGGGUGAAGUCGU
RNAcentral lists this ribosomal RNA (1491 nucleotides) under metagenome. RNAcentral describes it as "bacterial SSU rRNA". It matches the Rfam family "Bacterial small subunit ribosomal RNA". The record is from RNAcentral.